Molecule: non-coding RNA, 71 nt
Organism: Taphrina deformans PYCC 5710
Lineage: Eukaryota; Fungi; Ascomycota; Taphrinomycetes; Taphrinales; Taphrinaceae
Source: Rfam
GGGCUUGUAGCUUAACGUAAAGCUCCAGCUUGUCACGCAGGAAGAUGCCCGUUCGCGCCGGGUCAAGCUCG